UUUACACAGGCGGUUCACAUUACAAACCGCCUAUAAAUACCCCCAGCCCCCUUCUUCCUCCUCUGGCAGAACUGUAGCUCGCAGCCACCCUCUAUUGCAGCCCAUCUUGGAGAUCCAUAUUUUUCAAAAUACAAGGGGGGAGGUUUUGAUCUUCAUUUCUUGGAAUGAGGUGGCUAAGAAAGGUUAGUUGAUGCCUCUAAUGCCUCUUUUUGUGCCCUCUUGCUCAAUUUGAGCUACUUUUUAGAUCUAGGGUUUCACCAUGAGAGGGAGAGAGUAGAAUAGCUAGGUACGGUCUAUAUUUGCUCAAAUGAGGUUCCUUAAGAUGGUUAGAUGAUGUCUCUCAUCUCUUCAUUUUUAUGUUUCCUUCUCUAAUUAGUGAAUCCAAGAAAUAUAUAUGUAGUAGUUUCCAUGAAUGGUGUUUCCAUGCUUGGGAAGAGAGAGAAAGAUAAGUUUUCUUUUUAGUUUUUUAAAUUAUAUUGUUUAGGAUGUUAUUUUUUAUAUAAAUUUGAUUUAAUUAUGCGAAAAGCAUUUUUCAUGUAUGAGGUUGCUUAAGAUGUUGCCUCUCCUCUCACCAUUUCCAUGUUUCCUUCUCAAAUUUUUUUUAGUGAUAUAAAGAUAUAUAUUUAGUUUCAAUCAAAAGUGUUUUUGUACCUUGUCAAAUUUAUUUUAGUGAUAUAAAGAUAUAUAUUUAGGGUUUUGUCUUUAUUUUUGAUACUUGUUUUACUUUUUCAAUUUGAUUUAAUUGUUAGGUGUUCUUUUAUUUUUGAUAAUAAAUAUUCCUAGACAAUAUUUCAAUUAAUUUACUAACUUUUGAACAGGUCAAAAUACUAGGGGGAGGUUUUGAUCUUCAUUUCUUGGAAGGAGGUGGCUAAGAAAGGUUAGUUGAUGCCUCUAAUGCCACUUUUUGUGCCCUCUUGCUCAAUUUGAGCUACUUUUUGGAUCUAGGGUUUCACCAUGAGAUGGAGAGAGCAGAAUAGCUAGGUAUGGUCUAUAUUUGCUCAAAUGAGGUUCCUUAAGAUGGUUAGAUGAUGUCUCUCCUCUCUUCUUUUUUAUGUUUCCUUCUCUAAUUAGUGAAUCCAAGAAAUAUAUAUGUAGUAGUUUCCAUGAAUGGUGUUUCCAUGCUUGGGAAGAGAGAGAAAGAUAAGUUUUAUUUUUAGUUUUGAAAAUUAUAUUGUUUAGGAUGUUAUUUUUUAUGUAACUUUUAUUUAAUUAUGCGAUAAGCAUUUGUCAUGUAUGAGGUUGCUUAAGAUGUUGCCUCUCCUCUCACCAUUUUCAUGUUUCCCUUUUCAAUUUGAUUUAAUUGUUAUGUGUUCUUUUAUUUUUAAUAACAAAUAUUCCUAGACAAUAUUUCAAUUAAUUUAUUAACUUUCCAACAGGUCAUGAUGGAGAGGUCCUUUUGGAUGUAUAACUUAUCAAGACUAGAUCCAUCAUAUAUACUUGAGGUGCAUAGGUUUGUUGAUGCCGCUAAGAACCAUGCUUUGAGAACAAAGACGAAGCAUAUAUAUUGUCCAUGCUACGACUGCAGAAAUAUGAUAAGUAGUUUUUUAUUUUUCUUAUUUUUUAUUUUUUAUAUAUUGUCGAGGGGGAGGGGGAGGGGCAGGUGGGCCGACUACCCAGCUAGGCCGGCCCACGAGGGGCUAGUUUUUUAUUUUUCUUAUUUUUUAUUUUUUAUUUUUCUUAUAUGAUGUAUAUGUUGUCCUAAAUAACUAGGCACUAAAUUUCUUUUUUAUAAUGCAAUUAUUUAUAACACAAAUAUUUAUUUAUAUAACACAAUUAAAAUUGCAUAUGAUAAGUAGUUAUUAUUUAUUUUUUAUAAUGAAAUUAUUUACAAUGCAAUUUAUUUAUAUAUAUAUGUAUGUAUAAAAAUAAUAAAUAAUUAAUAUUUACUUUUAGUUUAAGUGUCUAUGUAUAUACAUUAUGCAUACUCUAAGUAGUUAUUGUUUAUUUUUUAUAAUGCAAUUAUUUAUAAUGCAAUUAUUUACAAUGCAAUUUAUUUAUACAUAUGUAUGUAUAAAAAUAAUAAACAAUUAAUAUUUACCUUUAGUUUAAGUGUCUAUGUAUAUACAUUAUCCAUAUGCUAAGUAGUUAUUAUUUCUUUUUUCUAAUGCAAUUAUUUACAAUGCAAUUUAUAUAUAUAUAUAUAUGUAUGUAUGUAUAAAAAUAAUAAAUAAUUAAUAUUUACCUUUAGUUUAAGUGU
Molecule: long non-coding RNA, 2197 nt
Filed under: Sorghum bicolor (sorghum)
Lineage: Eukaryota; Viridiplantae; Streptophyta; Magnoliopsida; Poales; Poaceae
Description: long non-coding RNA (SBIC_LNC008145)
Source: RNAcentral